UGAGAAAAAACUAGGUCAGAGGGUGACAGGUCGCCUAGCAACAGAGGCUUUAGUAAGGGGAAGUUAAAAAACAGGAAGUUUAGUGCAGAGCUGCAGAGGCAUAUUAAUAAAAUACAUGAAACCAGACAGAAAAAGCGGAACUAAGUAACACACACACACAUUAGUCAGAGCAGACGGAGUUGUUUUGAUGGAAACUGUGUGUGUCUGUGUGUGACCUAUAGUAGAACUAUGUAUGCGUAUUUUGCCUGGCAAUGCUUUUAGAACUGGGGUACGUGCUCGUGGCUGCAGGUCUCCGUUUCUGGAAAUGUAAAAAUAAAGAUCAUUUUUUGAGCUUUGACCACUCUGAGUCGGAAGUCUUUCUCUGUCGCCAAAAGAAUUCAAAAGAACAGAAUUUAAUAAUUGGUGCCAGUGACCCGGAUUCUUUUGCGGCUGAGAGGACAAAUUCGGCUUAAGGUGGGAUCUGAUAUGAGGCGAACAGGAGACCGGUCUAAAAAGAUUUAAAGGUAGGCACAGCCUGUUCAAAGAAAAAAGCCAAUUGUGCACAUUGGAUGAAUUCUAAAUUAUCUGUUCGCCGAGCUGAUGAUCUUCACAAUUAAAUUGGCUCAGUAGUGGUGAAAUUAAAGUAAAUUAUAAAAUCUGUUAAGUAGAUUUCGGGUGACAUGUCCAUGGUGAUUUUGGGUAAUUUGUGAUAAAUAAAAAGUAAAGUCUGGGGAAUAUUUGAUGAAAACUUAUUGUUGUUAAUGCUGGGGUGAAUUUUAAAGUUGAUGUGACGUGUGCUUAAAGUUGAUGUGUUAGGGGCGUGUCAAUUGUGUUACGUCAGCCAAGAAAAGAGAUUAGAUUAGGACAUUCGGUUAAGGGAUUUAAUUCCCAAAUUGAUUAUAGGGUUGGACCCGAGCAUCAGAUAAAUAAACUGGCGAUUACAGUCCACAGUGGUGCUUCUAAACGUAUUUAAAUUGAUCUAGGACUGGGGUUGGACUCCUAGGAGCUCAGUGUUCAGCGUGUGGCAACGACUCCUGAUCGUGGAUGCGCGGUCAAAGAGCUUAGUAUAUGUGUGUGUGUGUGUGUGUGUGCUGAGGGUGCAUUCUUUUUAUAUUAAAAUUAGUAGAGUUACAGAGGGUAUAUAGAGUGUGAACAUAAAAUAAGAGCUCGAUUAGAAACGGAUGAAAAUCCAGUAAAGUGAAGAGUGUGUGUGUGGGUGUGUGUGUGUCUGGCAGGAAGUGAAGCAGGAAGUCUGAAUAUAGCAUGUGAGCUUGUGAGAGACGUUUUAAAAUGAAAACAGAGGAAUUAGAGAAUGAAAGUGCAAAGUAAUAGUAAUGAAAAUGAUAUUAAAUAAAUGUCUUAGUGUGUUAAUACAGAUGCCCAUGGACUUGCUCAACCUCCUGGAAGAAUACAGCAGAAAAAUGAUAGAUUAACAGAAUUGGGACGAAAACAGGCUUUGGUUUAAAAUUUCACAGCUUCACCUCUCAUCCUGUCCUUAUCCUGAGAAGAAGCUUAAAGGACAGUUAAUCUCCUGAUGAAGACAGAAGACAGACAGAACAACACCGUGGACUUGAAGAAUUCACAGCAGGCAAAAAGACACUGAAGGGUCCAGCAGCAUGUAUGUUGAUGGAAACAUGCGCUCUGAAUUACAAGCUGGAAAGUGUACCAGUGACAUGACUGUGUGAAACCACUGGAUGGGACUGUCUGAGUCUCAUAUUUGCCAUGCUGGGAGUUAAGCGCCAAGAAAAGACUGAAAAGAGGAAGAGAGGAUGAAGAGAGAAGAAGAAACAGCUGAUUUGGGCCUGUGUUUGAUUUGGGAGGCCACACAGGAAGUUGAGAGAAGAGGGGACGAGGACCGGUGAGAGGUGAAGGCUGGACGUGUUAAAGUGACAGCAGGAAAAUUGGUUUGAAAAUUGAGGCUGAAUUUGUGGGGUUUAGAAACAUCCAGAGCAUCACAACAGAUGUUUUAGUAUUUCACAGUGACACCAACUGUGCCAUGUGUGCAACAGCAAAACCACCCAAUCCAGGACCCUCCAUCACUGACUGGCUUCAGUGUGAUAACUGCAACUGCUGGUUCCAUUCUGAAUGCCUGGACAUGACAAAUGAACAGCUCAGCAGUGCUCAGAAGACAGAGUGGAAGUGUGUGCUUUGUGUAACCUAAUUCCACAUGCAGUGAAAGCUACUAGAAUAAUCUGCUUAUAGUUAUUAUUGGUGUUUUGAGGAACACAUGUGUAAAACACAAUAUGUAUAACAUUCUUGCUUUGAGCACGUAUUUUAAGUAUUUCCUUUUUGAUUUUUUGGGUUGAUUUGUGUGAUGACAGAUAAUGAAUAAUAAUAUAUCAAAACUGUAUAAUAGUAAUCUGAGAAAUCAGUAAUAUGAGAAAUGUAAUUUCUCACCCCGACCGGUCGCGGCAAAUGGCCCCGCCCCUCCCUGAGCCUGGUUCUGCUGGAGGUUUCUUCAUGUUAAAAGGGAGUUUUUCCUUCCCACUGUCGCCAAAGUGCUUGCUCAUAGGGGGUCACAUGAUUGUUGGGUGUUUCUCUGUAUGUAUUAUUGUAAGGUUUAACUUAUUAUGUAAAGUGCCUUGAAGUGACUAUUGUUGUGAUUAAGCGCUGUAUAAAUAAUGUCUAAAGCUAAAGUUGCUACUUGAGGUGGUGUGUGAAAAUAUUUUCAUAAUAAUGAUGUUUUGAAAAUUAAAAUUUUGUGUGGAAAUAUAUUUCUUGUUGUUAAGCAAA
Oreochromis niloticus (Nile tilapia) is the source of this 2712-nucleotide long non-coding RNA. RefSeq lists it as uncharacterized. NCBI's taxonomy places the organism in Eukaryota, Metazoa, Chordata, Actinopteri, Cichliformes, Cichlidae. The transcript has 2 exons. The record is from RefSeq and is a predicted model, not a curated record.